This 305-nucleotide ribosomal RNA is filed under the name uncultured bacterium. Its description in RNAcentral is "bacterial SSU rRNA". It matches the Rfam family "Bacterial small subunit ribosomal RNA", at positions 333 to 635 of the family's 1533-position model. The record is from RNAcentral.
GGAAACCUACGGGACGCAGCAGUGAGGAAUAUUGGUCAAUGGCCGAGAGGCUGAACCAGCCACGUCGCGUGAGGGAAGACGGCCCUACGGGUUGUAAACCUCUUUUGUCGGGGAGCAAAGCGAGUCACGUGUGACACAUUGAGAGUACCCGAAGAAAAAGCAUCGGCUAACUCCGUGCCAGCAGCCGCGGUAAUACGGAGGAUGCGAGCGUUAUCCGGAUUUAUUGGGUUUAAAGGGAGCGUAGGUGGAUUGUUAAGUCAGUUGUGAAAGUUUGCGGCUCAACCGUAAAAUUGCAGUUGAAACUG